RNAcentral lists this non-coding RNA (70 nucleotides) under human gut metagenome. RNAcentral's name for it is "ZMP/ZTP riboswitch". It matches the Rfam family "ZMP/ZTP riboswitch aptamer (pfl RNA motif)", at positions 7 to 82 of the family's 86-position model. From Rfam's summary of the family: Previously known as pfl RNA. ZMP is also known as AICAR. The record is from RNAcentral.
GCGUGCGACUGGCGGAUUCGUGGGUAACCACAGGGGAGCACGUAGUAAAAAAGCCGACCGCCUGGGCACC